CAUGUGGUUUAAUAUUUCACUAUAACUGAAGUACAAGUUGUGAAGCUGGGUACUUUGAACCUGGGCUUUAUUUUUUGUUUUUGUUUCUAGUUUAUAAUAUUUGGAAAUUGAAAAAAGAAUAUAUUUGCUACUAGCAAGCUCAUUCCUGAAGAAAGAAGAAACGUCGCCAUUUAUUAGGGCAGCGAAUGCUUCAAAAUUUAUUUAGAAGAGAUUUAAGAACAGAGUCUCUCUCCUGGUCAUUAAAAAUCUCUAACUUUUUUCUCUUCGAGCCUGAAGUCACAUUACCAGUAAUGGUUGUCCUCAACGUAAGACUGAAAUUGAGCCCUGAAUUACAGUGGAAGAGGCCAAAGGCCACCAAAGGAGUCAGCCACCGGGCCGCCCAGACACUGCUAAACCCAGAACGUCUGGAAAAGUUGUUCGGCGCUCUUCUGCUGCAGGAAGAGCGACGUAGAGGACCUUCCUGUGCCUCCUGACAGAACUGACGAGGCACAUGAACAGGCGGACCAGAAGGGAGAAUGGUGGACACAGA
This is a long non-coding RNA of Crotalus tigris (Tiger rattlesnake), 529 nucleotides long. RefSeq lists it as uncharacterized. The transcript is spliced from 4 exons. The record is from RefSeq and is a predicted model, not a curated record. Lineage: Eukaryota; Metazoa; Chordata; Lepidosauria; Squamata; Viperidae.